This 5222-nucleotide unclassified non-coding RNA is filed under the name Penaeus japonicus. RNAcentral describes it as "mAP/microtubule affinity-regulating kinase 3-like, transcript variant X11". The record is from RNAcentral. Lineage: Eukaryota; Metazoa; Arthropoda; Malacostraca; Decapoda; Penaeidae.
CGGGGUGCUCGUCACGUAAAGGCGAUGUGUUAGUAAAGAGAGAGAUAAACACUUAAGCUGUGAUAUUUAGUGUUAAGUGUACUUGAGCAUAUGUCAAAAGAAACGCGGCACAAGCCUACAGGACCGGGCGCGGGUGUCAUGUGACAAGUGACGCGAGUGACCCAGUGUGAGAGACGCGUGAGUGGCGAAGCGGUACUCGUCCCCCUCACUCGGCCCGGAGGAUGCUGUCCCUCGCGCGGAUAACAAGAUAAAACGUCCAGGAAACAGUGGAUUUUGCUCGCAGGGGAAGGGGCCGUCUGCGGUGCCAGUGCGAGAGAGAGCUUUUGGUGCCAGAGGUAGUGCCAGGCAGGCGGGGGCUUUGAGGUGACACUGGUGAGCUCCACCUGUUACCACCUGUCACUUGCACCAGGUGGACUGCCAGCAAGCAAGCGAGUGUUGCCAGGUGUGCUGGGGGGCUGCUGCGAGUGCUGAUGCUGGCCGCCACCCGGGGUCCACCAGGCCCCACGCCCGCGCCGCCCGCCAUGCCCGAGCCACGCCCACACUCCCACAAGGUCCACCUCCAGCACGGUCCUGCGCGCUUCCACAAGCCCUGGUACAACCCGCCGUGGGUGAGUGAGAGCAAGGCUUCCAGCAAGUCCGCCGAGAAGGGACAUCGAGCUAGGGGCGAGGAUGGCGUGAGCGGGAUGGCCAGCUCUGGAGGAGGCGGCGGGGUGAGUGGGUCGUCGUCGUCGUCAGCGCGGGUGUCGUCGUCCCGCUCCCGCACGGAGGAGAUCGGCAAGUACCGCCUCCUCAAGACCAUCGGCAAGGGGAACUUCGCCAAGGUCAAGCUCGCCAAGCACAUCCCCACCGGCAAGGAGGUGGCUAUAAAAAUUAUAGACAAGACGCAACUUAAUCCAGGGUCAUUACAAAAGCUGUUUCGUGAGGUCCGCAUCAUGAAGAUCCUCGAUCAUCCAAACAUUGUCAAACUCUUCCAAGUGAUAGAAACAGAAAGAACUUUGUACCUGGUGAUGGAGUAUGCUAGUGGUGGGGAGGUAUUCGACUACUUGGUCUUCCAUGGCAGGAUGAAGGAAAAGGAGGCUCGGGCAAAAUUUAGACAGAUUGUGUCAGCAGUACAAUAUUGCCACCAAAAGAAGAUCAUUCAUAGGGAUUUAAAAGCUGAAAAUUUACUUUUAGAUUCAGAAAUGGUGAUAAAAAUAGCAGAUUUUGGCUUCAGCAAUGAAUUUACGCCAGGAAAUAAGUUAGAUACUUUCUGUGGUAGUCCACCUUAUGCUGCACCUGAACUUUUUCAAGGGAAAAAGUAUGAUGGCCCCGAGGUAGAUGUGUGGUCUUUGGGGGUCAUCCUCUACACCUUAGUUUCCGGCUCACUACCUUUUGAUGGGUCUAACUUAAAAGAACUUAGAGAACGGGUACUAAGGGGGAAAUAUCGUAUACCUUUCUACAUGUCCACUGACUGCGAGAAUCUGCUCAAGAAGUUCCUGGUACUCAAUCCAGCACGUAGGGCAUCUCUAGAGACAAUAAUGAAGGAUAGAUGGAUGAACAUUGGUUAUGAAGAUGAUGAACUAAAGCCAUAUGUGGAACCAACCAUAGACCUUGAUGACAUUAAACGAAUUGAGAUUCUCAGUGAAAUGGGUUAUUCUCGAGCCGAAAUAGAAGACAGUUUGAAGAGUCAGAAGUAUGAUGAUGUAUAUGCUACCUACCUACUCCUUGGGCGGAGAUCUUCGGACCUUGAGAGUGACGGUUCCCGGUCAGGAAGCUCACUUUCCCUUCGCAACACCUGCUUAACGCCGCGAGGGCAGGAGUCUAGCGGAGCUGCCCAAUCUCCCUCGCACUCCCACCGGGGAGUUCACCGCUCAGUCUCUGCCACCAACUCCAAGCCCUCUCGCAGAGCAUCCUCCGGUGGGGAGACCAUUCGGGGUGGAGGCACAACUCCAGUCUCUACUAAUGCACACAACCAUGCGGGCACCAACAACUUCCGGCGGCAGAACACGGUUGAUACUGCAACCAUCAAGGAGAACACUGCUCGUCUGGCUCAGGGGGGCGUCCCCACCACCUCAGCCUCACGCUCGGCAGCACUCAAGAACCAAAAUAUCACAGCCCUUGAUCCCUCAGGGGCACCCGGCAAAGCUGGAGGUGCAGGUGCAGCAACCAGUCCUGGUGUAGGGAAGUCUCGGGUACAGAAGAGUAACACCAUGACCAAUAGAACCAUAGGUAGUGGCUCAGCACGACGCUCAACGUACUCCUAUGAUGCCAAUAAGGCCUCCUCAACAGAAAAGACAAACAUAACAAACGUUCCAGAUUCUGCUAGUGGCGUGGCUGCGGUACCACUCCUCCCUGGGGCCCCUCCCUCCUCUGCGGUGGGGGCCCCGGUGGACAGCCUGUCCCCUGGCCACCCCUCGGCAGCCACUAACUCUCGACCUGCAAAAGGUCAUUUCAAGUCAGCGUCUAUUUCUGCGGGCACGGGUGCUGGUCCAGGUCGAGUGGAUCUCUCGCCCUUAGACCACCCCCUAGAUCCUUUACGGUCAAGCUCUUCAAACAAAACACCAGUGUCACCUAUAAGCUCAAGCAACCGCUUCCCCCGAAAUGUGCCCAGUCGAUCCACGUUCCACAGUGGACAGAAUCGGCAAAAUAACAAUACGUACAGGGGAGUCGGUGCCCCUCUAACCACACAGGACACCAGUGCCCUCUCUUCCACGAGUAGGACCAGUUUCUUCUCAAAAUUGUCAUCUAAAUUUUCAAAACGCCCCCUGGAAACUCCACCUAAGCAAGGCGCUAGGUAUGUUGGCACAUCCGUGAAUAAUGACGAGCAGGUCAAGCCUCGGUCAUUGCGCUUCACGUGGAGCAUGAAAACGACCUCUUCACGAGACCCCAAUGACAUCAUGGCCGAGAUUCGCAAGGUAGACCACCCCCCGCACCAUGAAUAGCGAAGACAAGUAUUAGAUGCAAACAACUGUGAUUAUGAGCAGCGAGAAAAGUUCUUGCUUCUCUGUGUCCAUGGAGACCCCAACACAGAUUCUUUAGUACAGUGGGAAAUUGAGGUGUGUAAGCUACCCAGACUUAGCCUGAACGGUGUGCGUUUCAAGAGGAUAUCAGGAACUUCCAUUGGGUUUAAAAAUAUUGCCAGCAAGAUUGCUAAUGAGCUAAAACUGUGACUACAAGGGGAGUUAGAACUAGGCGACUCUCUUGUAGAAGUACCACUAGGACAUAACACAGCCUGAGGUUAUGUAUCUAGUUCAGGUCAAAGUAGGCUGGGGUGUCUGACCAGUGAUGUGUCGAGGUCACACGAUUUUGUUAGAAAGAUUCAGGGAGUCAAAACAUAUUCCGAAACGUGCCUGAUAUCCAUCAAAGUUGCAUGUGUUUAAAAAAGUUGUUGUAGAACCAAAUAAGUUUUUAAAACUGUUAAGAGAGACAAGCUGGCACCUAACAAGUUUUCGGAGGUGUUCUCAAUAUGCAUUUUCGUGUUCUGACCUGGACUGUAAUCAGGCCCCCUUCCCUCUCAAGCUCACCUGAAAUAUAUUAAUUAACAAGCUCACCCCUGGGAGCUUUCACAUUAGAGCUCCAUGGGCCUCCCCUGAAGCACCUUUGGCUUGUUGGCUUCCCACCCUCACUCUCUAAAGCGUACCGUGGACCCCUCUCGCUGCUCGAAAUCCAGUUGCCUUUCAGGAAUUUAUGAUGGCCACAGGACUACUGUUGAUAUUCAUGAACUUUUAAACUAUCCUGACACUCCUGACCAGUGAAAGACAUGCUGUCAAUAGAGCCAUUGCUUCUUCACCUUCAAGACUUGAGGCAAUGGCAUGAGGUCAUUAGUGUGAUAUUUAGAACAUUAACAAUACUAAGUGGAAGAUUUUGAAUGGACUUGAACAAAGUGUCUUAGUACUUACCCCCUUCCACCAGUGCUGGCCAGAGUAGUGCGGUUGUGUAGAUCACGUUUGGUGGAAGUGUAAACAAAGUCUCACCUUGGACUCCAGUGGAUAUAGUGAAACGUGAGGCAAAUAUCCACCAUAUCAUAUUAUCUCCAUGUAUGUAAACCACGCAUCAUGUGUAACCGUAUCAUCCUUACGUGUUGCACUCACCAGCUAACCAGAAAGAGGUUCCAAAGGAACAGUUUUACCUUGUUUUCUUUUGUAAAUAUUUUGGCUAUAGGAAUGAGGAAUUCCAGCUGCCCAGUUUUGUUAUGUAUUACCUAUAGGAUGAAUGAGGUGAUUUGAAUAUUAAUAUGUACAGUAUUGUAAAGAAUUUGGUCACAUAUGCUGACUCUGAACUUAACCCUAAUCCUGGUUAAAAUAAAAAUACUGUGCAACGUGUAGCAUGAGCAGAGCUUUACUCCCAGUCGCCCCAUGCCCUUGUGUAGAAACCAAAGACUGGGGCCUCACUUCUGUUGUGCCUGGAGUAGUGCGUUGCAGUCUGCCAGUGUCUGCCAACUGUCAACAUGGUUUUUUCUGCCAUAUGCCCCCACCUAGCCUUGUUGUAUAUUUACCUGUUUAUCUGCCCUGUUGUACAUGAUAUAUAGUCUUCUGAUUGGUGAGCCAUCAAUACCACUAUGAUUCUACUUCUUUCUCAUCUUUGUCAAAACUUCAAAUCCCUCCCCUUUGUGUAGAUAUGUUCCCUUGCAUUGUCAUUAUCAUUUUAUUUUGAAAAUCCUGUAAUCAUUUUUCAUCUUGGUUAGAAAUACUAGUGGUGGCAGUUAGGUAUUUGAUUUUUUUUUUCUUUUUUUUUUUUUCUUCAUUUUUUUCCAUACUUUCUUUCUGGGAAUAUAAUCAUGUAAAUUUAUAGUUGCUAAUAUUUAAUAAAAUUAUGAGAUGAUAAUGUAUGGACCAUAUAGUGACAGUUUUUCUCUACACAACCUUGGGCUUAAUUCUAUAUGAAUUCCUUGAAAUUUGGUGCAAAUCAUUUGAAAUAUUUGCCAUCCUCAACAUUUUAAUCACAGGUGAUGACGGUCAUUAAAUAUUGAUAGGCCUACUUUUUAUUGCACAGACCAAAUCAAAUGAACAGGAGUUUUGUGAUGUGAACUCUGGGAUUCAGUUGAUAUACACUUUGAUUUGUAUUUUUACAUUUCCUAACCCCACCAGUGUAACUUGAGAGUGGUAAAAAGACAUCCUUUUAUUUGUUUGAUUGGAGGAUUUGAUAAGAAUUAUUUAAUAAUGCUGCUGCAUAUGUUCAUUCCUGUAACUACCUGUGUACAUACUCAGCCAGUAGCCCUUGAAAUACAGUGACAAUUCACAUCA